RNAcentral lists this unclassified non-coding RNA (164 nucleotides) under Pleosporaceae sp. Its description in RNAcentral is "partial internal transcribed spacer 2". RNAcentral also lists the same sequence under 1 other name. Lineage: Eukaryota; Fungi; Ascomycota; Dothideomycetes; Pleosporales; Pleosporaceae. The record is from RNAcentral.
GUACCCUCAAGCUUUGCUUGGUGUUGGGCGUUGUUUGUCUUUGGUCCGCCCAAAGACUCGCCUUAAAACAAUUGGCAGCCGGCCUACUGGUUUCGCAGCGCAGCACAUUUUUGCGCUUGCAAUCAGCAAAAGAGGUUGGUCAUCCAUCAAGACUACAUUUAUAC